AAAGAAAUAUGAGGCUCUUAGAAGUAUGCUUAAAAGCUUGUAUUUCCGGUUACCAUAACAAAGUCAGGCAAAACAAGAGAGGACGUAGGAGAAAAGAGUACCUGUGUUCGUUCCUUCUGAUCCUAUUCCAACCUGAUCUGUGUUCCCCGAGAAGAGCGUGACCGAGAGAGAGAGAGAGAGUGUGUGUGCGUGUGUGGGG
This 199-nucleotide long non-coding RNA is filed under the name Elaeis guineensis (African oil palm). RNAcentral's name for it is "long non-coding RNA (EGUI_LNC021509)". The record is from RNAcentral. Lineage: Eukaryota; Viridiplantae; Streptophyta; Magnoliopsida; Arecales; Arecaceae.